RNAcentral lists this ribosomal RNA (253 nucleotides) under uncultured bacterium. RNAcentral describes it as "partial 16S ribosomal RNA". It matches the Rfam family "Bacterial small subunit ribosomal RNA", at positions 524 to 776 of the family's 1533-position model. The record is from RNAcentral.
UACGUAGGUGGCAAGCGUUAUCCGGAUUUACUGGGUGUAAAGGGAGCGUAGACGGCAAGACAAGCCUGGAGUGAAAGGCGGGGGCCCAACCCCCGGACUGCUCUGGGAACUGUCUGGCUGGAGUGCAGGAGGGGUAAGUGGAAUUCCUAGUGUAGCGGUGAAAUGCGUAGAUAUUAGGAGGAACACCAGUGGCGAAGGCGGCUUACUGGACUGUAACUGACGUUGAGGCUCGAAAGCGUGGGGAGCAAACAGG